This 253-nucleotide ribosomal RNA is filed under the name uncultured bacterium. RNAcentral describes it as "partial 16S ribosomal RNA". It matches the Rfam family "Bacterial small subunit ribosomal RNA", at positions 524 to 776 of the family's 1533-position model. The record is from RNAcentral.
UACGUAGGGGGCAAGCGUUGUCCGGAAUCAUUGGGCGUAAAGCGCGUGUAGGCGGCCCGGUAAGUCCGCUGUGAAAGUCGGGGGCUCAACCCUCGAAUGCCGGUGGAUACUGCCGGGCUAGAGUGCUGGAGAGGCGAGUGGAAUUCCUGGUGUAGCGGUGAAAUGCGCAGAUAUCAGGAGGAACACCAAUUGCGAAGGCAGCUCGCUGGAACGUAACUGACGCUGAGACGCGAAAGCGUGGGGAGCAAACAGG